UACGUAGGGGGCUAGCGUUGUCCGGAAUCAUUGGGCGUAAAGCGCGUGUAGGCGGUCCGGUAAGUUCGCUGUGAAAGUCGGGGGCUCAACCCUCGGAUGCCGGUGGAUACUGUCGGGCUUGAGUACGGAAGAGGCGAGUGGAAUUCCUGGUGUAGCGGUGAAAUGCGCAGAUAUCAGGAGGAACACCAAUGGCGAAGGCAGCUCGCUGGGACGGUACUGACGCUGAGGCGCGAAAGCGUGGGGAGCAAACAGG
This 253-nucleotide ribosomal RNA is filed under the name uncultured bacterium. RNAcentral describes it as "partial 16S ribosomal RNA". It matches the Rfam family "Bacterial small subunit ribosomal RNA", at positions 524 to 776 of the family's 1533-position model. The record is from RNAcentral.